CCUGAGGUUAUUGUUACCGACACAGAAAAGCCUGAAGGAGGAUUUUUGCUCCCCACAGUGAAACUACUUUUUGCAUGCAGCCCACAUGAUCUGGAUGCUACAUUGACAAAUACAAAUUACAGCUGCAAACAUUCACUUCCUCUAGGCUUACUACAUACAUUUUGGGGAUAUAUUUCUUCAAUGAAGAUCAGGUACUUGUAUGGCACCAAUUGACACAGGCACAAGACACAAUGGCAAGCGUGGACGCAACCUGUGGACGCAGCACAUGAGUAUGCCUGUGUGAAGUACAGAAUACGCUCGUGCUUUUUAGGAUAACUGAGAAAAGCAUUUCUCUGGCCCGGUGCUCCCAGAUACACACAAAAUGAAAUCACAAACUAAGUUUCUAUCCUUCUACAUCUUGCCAGCAAUGAUUAGACAGACAUCUUAUUGCUGUAAUGAAAAACGUUUCAUUCGCAGACAUCCCCCUCACCUUGCAAAGAAAAGAAAGAAAGAAGGAAAAAAGCCAGGUACUCACCCAGGCCCACACUGAACUACACACUUGGAAUCGCAAAGCCGAAGUUAAACUGCAAAGUUCAUUCCAACUUGUGAAACCACUGAAGCAAAACCAGAUGCUUUCAGCAUUUUCUCCAAUCCUAUACUGACCGCUCCCACCCUUUAGACAUUUGUCUUGCUAAUUGAUCUAUUCUUGGUUGCUUUUUAUCACCAAUGCGCUCAAUUUUUUUUAAUUUAUUGAAGUUGAAGAAUUUUUCUAUUGCUAGCUUUUGCAUCCCUCCAGACUGAUGUUAAAUAAAGACGACAGGCAAUGUCCACAGAAUAGUACAUGUUACUGUAUGUAUCAGAAAUUUUUAUCUGCAAGGUAAACUAUUCACAAUACACUAGAGACCGUGUAAACUUAAUCUGAGUCACUGCGGCAAUACUACCUCCUUACUUUGGUGAAAAUAUUUCAGGGCAACGUUUGAACUAUUUCAAAAAUGCAAUCAAAGAAGUCUUCGUGUUUGCUGUCAAUGACUUGUGCUUUUAGUAAAAUAUAGAUGUAGUCAUUCAUGUCCGAUUACCUGACUUGAAAGACAACAAAAUGACAUAUAGCUCUGGUGUCCCAAGGCCCCUUCAGGGUGGUGAGGAAGGUUGCCUUCUUUCUGAGGCAACCAGAACAGCACUGCUGAAGCCCCUACCUCCACCACUUAGUUAACUAAUAGUUAAAUAGCAUUGGCCCUUACUUUCAAGGAGCUUUUUUGAAUUAAUUCAAUUUCCUCCCUUUGACCUCCAUAAUGGAGCAUUAGUAAGUCUGCAGGGGAUGAAACAAGGCAUUAGUACUGUUUUUUGACUGUUUUUAUUUUUUAGGCUGAUUUUAGAUAGCCAACCUUAAGACUGCAGUAAGGACAUCUUUCUGCAAAUGCAAGGAUUGUACAUAAACACUAACUAAAUACACUGAUAGAACAGGAUAAAAUUUGACAUUUGGGAAAGUAGGAACUGCUACUAAAUCAAAUUUUUAGAGUGACAUAAAAUUCUGACUUUAAUAGAAGGAAUAAAUCAACUAGUGUAUAUUCUGAUAUUUAAUUGCGUGCCCUGCAGCACAGCAUCUGCGUACAAACUAGAAUUUUACUGGAAAACAAGGAACAAUUUUCGGUAAACACAAGCAGUUAGAAAUAAGAAAAUCACUUAUGGAGAAAGGAAUUAUACACAUUCUGGAACCAUGAAAAAGCUGGUAGAAAUUAAGCUUCCCAAGUAUUUCUCAACAGUUGUCUUGAUUGAGACUGUUUCAGUUCAGCACAGCCAAUAGCAGAUGUAUGGAAGACAACUCUCUCUCUCUCUCUCUUAGACAAACAGGAGUCACAAACAUCAACUUAAGUUUCCAAGAAGUUAAAAUUCCUUGAAACUACUUAAUCAUUUUUGUUGUCACAGCAUCUUCCUCUAUUGCCUGAUACAAUAGUUCAAUAUUUCAGAAUUUCAAUUGAGAUAAAGUAGAUAUCUACUGUUC
Long non-coding RNA from Chroicocephalus ridibundus (black-headed gull), 1978 nucleotides. RefSeq lists it as uncharacterized. The transcript is spliced from 3 exons. Lineage: Eukaryota; Metazoa; Chordata; Aves; Charadriiformes; Laridae. The record is from RefSeq and is a predicted model, not a curated record.